RNAcentral lists this long non-coding RNA (1299 nucleotides) under Mus musculus (house mouse). RNAcentral's name for it is "predicted gene, 31718". The record is from RNAcentral. Lineage: Eukaryota; Metazoa; Chordata; Mammalia; Rodentia; Muridae.
AAGGUCACAUGGGCGCCCCUGCAAUGGUCCAGUGUGCUGUUGUGGCUCCUUUUCCUCUGAAUUGGCCCAGACACUCAGUGGAGAGUGAGUUCCUUGGAAGGCUUGACUUGGGAAACUGGUCCGUUGGAUGACUGAAGGGAACCCACACCAUGAGCACACUCUCCAGUGAGUCAAUGAUUAUUCUGCUCCAGCCACUGAGGCAAUAGAGACGUUGACUUCCACUCUAGCCGAUGAGGGCUCAGGUGAGGAAGAGAGAAGAAGAGUGAGGAAGCUGGCUUUAACUCCCUGUGUCAGAGUUCAGCCUCCUACAGGCCUCUUGGAACGUUUGCAUUGUAGCUGCCCAUCCAUCCAUCUACGCAUGUUAAAUAUAUCUUUGCGGGUCUCACUCCAUAAUGGUGUGAAAGCCACCUCAAGGCAGGGUAGGGUGCUGCAACCUUAGCUCUGCUGCCAUAAACCCAGGAGCAGAGGACCACAGAGGAGGAAGUCCUGCCUAGAGGAACAGAAUGGACUGGUGGCGGCGAGCUUUGAGAUCACACCUCAAACCCAGGAACCUGUUAUGACUGGGUUAUCUCCUUCCUCUCAGCGGGAGCUGGAACAACUCUGAGUCGGCAUCCUGACUUUUGGCCCCUUUACAUGAAACCAUAUGUGGAGGAACUAGGAGUGGUGUAGCUGGCUGUACAUUGGACCUAAGAAGUGGAAAUUUCUUAUUUCAUUGUAAAGUCAGCUAUAUCAAACGAUGUUUUGCUGGGGAACACAGGCGAAAGGAAGUUUUGCUAAAGCAGACAUGUGAAAGAUGCAUGAUGCUUAGAAGGCAUAUAAAUGUGAUCCCACAGACAGUGGGAGCUUGAGCAUUGGUUCACUUUGCUCCACCUGGCUAUUCUUCACUGACAGACGUGCAUGCAUGUAUUGGUUCACCUUAUAUUGCAUUGCUGAGCUCCGCCUGUGGUGGCGCCAUAGAGAGAAAUUUGCCAAAGAACUUCUCCGUGAGGUUCCUGCUGCUUCCUCAAGCUGGUUGGUGAGCCUUGUGGUUUCUUCUGGAUUGAACUGCCCUUGCUGGUUCACAUGUGGUGACUGCCAAGUGGACUGGACUGCAGCUGCUGAUUCCUGUUUGGUGUUUUCUACUGAACUGAAACUGCUGAUAUCCUGACAAUGAAAAUUGGACUUGUCCCCAAAGAGCUAUUUGUAAACAGGUCUACUUCCACACCAUGUCCUAAUAACUUUUAUCUUCCACCAAUGUUGGUGGGUGGUGGCUUAGAGAGGAGGUUGAAUGUUUAUUAAAGUAGGCUGGAAAAAAAAUUA